GCAUAUCAAUAAGCGGAGGAAAAGAAACUAACAAGGAUUCCCCUAGUAGCGGCGAGCGAACCGGGAUGAGCUCAAAUUUGUAAUCUGGCGUCCUCCGGGCGUCCGAGUUGUAAUCUAUAGAAGCGUCUUCCGUGCCGGACCGCGUCCAAGUCCCUUGGAACAGGGCGUCAAAGAGGGUGACAAUCCCGUGCUUGAUGCGACGACCGGUGCACUGUGAUACGCUCUCUACGAGUCGAGUUGUUUGGGAAUGCAGCUCAAAGUGGGUGGUAAAUUCCAUCUAAAGCUAAAUAUUGGCGAGAGACCGAUAGCGAACAAGUACCGUGAGGGAAAGAUGAAAAGCACUUUGGAAAGAGAGUUAAACAGUAUGUGAAAUUGUUGAAAGGA
Molecule: ribosomal RNA, 384 nt
Filed under: Tremella huuskonenii
Lineage: Eukaryota; Fungi; Basidiomycota; Tremellomycetes; Tremellales; Tremellaceae
Description: LSU rRNA
Rfam family: Eukaryotic large subunit ribosomal RNA
Source: RNAcentral